GUACACUCCUGCGGGAGGCAGCAGUGGGGAAUAUUGGACAAUGGGCGCAAGCCUGAUCCAGCCAUGCCGCGUGAGUGAUGAAGGCCCUAGGGUUGUAAAGCUCUUUCACCGGUGAAGAUAAUGACGGUAACCGGAGAAGAAGCCCCGGCUAACUUCGUGCCAGCAGCCGCGGUAAUACGAAGGGGGCUAGCGUUGUUCGGAUUUACUGGGCGUAAAGCGCACGUAGGCGGACUAUUAAGUCAGGGGUGAAAUCCCGGGGCUCAACCCCGGAACUGCCUUUGAUACUGGUAGUCUUGAGUUCGAGAGAGGUGAGUGGAAUUCCGAGUGCAGAGGUGAAAUUCGUAGAUAUUCGGAGGAACACCAGUGGCGAAGGCGGCUCACUGGCUCGAUACUGACGCUGAGGUGCGAAAGCGUGGGGAGCAAACAGGAUUAGAAACCCUUGUAGUCCCAUG
RNAcentral lists this ribosomal RNA (452 nucleotides) under uncultured organism. RNAcentral's name for it is "partial 16S ribosomal RNA". It matches the Rfam family "Bacterial small subunit ribosomal RNA", at positions 331 to 799 of the family's 1533-position model. The record is from RNAcentral.